GCUUGCUGGGUGGAUUAGUGGCGAACGGGUGAGUAAUACGUGAGUAACCUGCCCUUGACUCUGGGAUAAGCCUGGGAAACUGGGUCUAAUACUGGAUACUACUUCCUGCCGCAUGGUGGGUGGUGGAAAGGGUUUUACUGGUUUUGGAUGGGCUCACGGCCUAUCAGCUUGUUGGUGGGGUAAUGGCUCACCAAGGCGACGACGGGUAGCCGGCCUGAGAGGGUGACCGGCCACACUGGGACUGAGACACGGCCCAGACUCCUACGGGAGGCAGCAGUGGGGAAUAUUGCACAAUGGGCGGAAGCCUGAUGCAGCGACGCCGCGUGAGGGAUGACGGCCUUCGGGUUGUAAACCUCUUUCAGUAGGGAAGAAGCGAGAGUGACGGUACCUGCAGAAGAAGCGCCGGCUAACUACGUGCCAGCAGCCGCGGUAAUACGUAGGGCGCAAGCGUUGUCCGGAAUUAUUGGGCGUAAAGAGCUCGUAGGCGGUUUGUCGCGUCUGCUGUGAAAGCCCGGGGCUCAACCCCGGGUCUGCAGUGGGUACGGGCAGACUAGAGUGCAGUAGGGGAGACUGGAAUUCCUGGUGUAGCGGUGAAAUGCGCAGAUAUCAGGAGGAACACCGAUGGCGAAGGCAGGUCUCUGGGCUGUUACUGACGCUGAGGAGCGAAAGCAUGGGGAGCGAACAGGAUUAGAUACCCUGGUAGUCCAUGCCGUAAACGUUGGGCACUAGGUGUGGGGGACAUUCCACGUUUUCCGCGCCGUAGCUAACGCAUUAAGUGCCCCGCCUGGGGAGUACGGCCGCAAGGCUAAAACUCAAAGGAAUUGACGGGGGCCCGCACAAGCGGCGGAGCAUGCGGAUUAAUUCGAUGCAACGCGAAGAACCUUACCAAGGCUUGACAUUCACCGGACCGCCCCAGAGAUGGGGUUUCCCUUCGGGGCUGGUGGACAGGUGGUGCAUGGUUGUCGUCAGCUCGUGUCGUGAGAUGUUGGGUUAAGUCCCGCAACGAGCGCAACCCUCGUUCUAUGUUGCCAGCACGUGAUGGUGGGGACUCAUAGGAGACUGCCGGGGUCAACUCGGAGGAAGGUGGGGAUGACGUCAAAUCAUCAUGCCCCUUAUGUCUUGGGCUUCACGCAUGCUACAAUGGCCGGUACAAAGGGUUGCGAUACUGUGAGGUGGAGCUAAUCCCAAAAAGCCGGUCUCAGUUCGGAUUGAGGUCUGCAACUCGACCUCAUGAAGUCGGAGUCGCUAGUAAUCGCAGAUCAGCAACGCUGCGGUGAAUACGUUCCCGGGCCUUGUACACACCGCCCGUCAAGUCACGAAAGUUGGUAACACCCGAAGCCGGUGGCCUA
This 1349-nucleotide ribosomal RNA is filed under the name Kocuria sp. Its description in RNAcentral is "bacterial SSU rRNA". It matches the Rfam family "Bacterial small subunit ribosomal RNA", at positions 78 to 1437 of the family's 1533-position model. Lineage: Bacteria; Bacillati; Actinomycetota; Actinomycetes; Micrococcales; Micrococcaceae. The record is from RNAcentral.